This is a long non-coding RNA of Equus caballus (horse), 291 nucleotides long. RefSeq lists it as uncharacterized. NCBI's taxonomy places the organism in Eukaryota, Metazoa, Chordata, Mammalia, Perissodactyla, Equidae. The record is from RefSeq and is a predicted model, not a curated record.
GUUCGAUUAUCACCAUCCUUUCACAGUGACAGAAAAUAAGUGGCCCAGGAAGUCACCAGCAAUUGCUAGACCUCCAGAGGGGCUGCAGACAGAGGCCAGCCAUGAGCAAUCAACCAAGUCAACGUGACCAAGCUCCAGUAAAAACUCUGGACCCCAAGCAUCGGGAGCAAACACAUCAUGUUUCCUGGUAUCCUGGAUACCACAUCAGGGACAUAAAGCCAAGAAGUGUCUCUGCUGAGCCAACUGCGAACAGUGCCAAUUAAACUCGUCCCACAGACCUGCAGAGCUCUA